Molecule: ribosomal RNA, 757 nt
Filed under: uncultured bacterium
Lineage: Bacteria
Description: bacterial SSU rRNA
Rfam family: Bacterial small subunit ribosomal RNA
Source: RNAcentral
GAUGAACGCUAGCGAUAGGCUUAACACAUGCAAGUCGAGGGGCAGCACGAUUUUAGCUUGCUAAGAUUGGUGGCGACCGGCGCACGGGUGCGUAACGCGUAUGCAACUUACCUUAUAGAGGGGGAUAGCCCGUUUAACGACGGAUUAAUACCGCAUAUACAAGUGGUUUGGCAUCAAACAACUUGGAGAUGAAUUUCGCUAUAAGAUAGGCAUGCGUCCCAUUAGCUUGUUGGUAAGGUAACGGCUUACCAAGGCAACGAUGGGUAGGGGAACUGAGAGGUUGAUCCCCCACACUGGUACUGAGACACGGACCAGACUCCUACGGGAGGCAGCAGUGAGGAAUAUUGGUCAAUGGACGCAAGUCUGAACCAGCCAAAUCGCGUGAAGGAUGACUGUCUUAUGGAUUGUAAACUUCUUUUAUACGGGAAUAAUCACAGAUACGUGUAUUUGUUUGAAUGUACCGUACGAAUAAGCAUCGGCUAACUCCGUGCCAGCAGCCGCGGUAAUACGGAGGAUGCGAGCGUUAUCCGGAUUUAUUGGGUUUAAAGGGUGCGUAGGUGGUCUGAUAAGUCAGCGGUGAAAUUUCUGAGCUCAACUCAGACACUGCCGUUGAAACUGUUAGACUUGAGUGUAGAUGAGGUAGGCGGAAUGCGUGGUGUAGCGGUGAAAUGCAUAGAUAUCACGCAGAACUCCGAUUGCGAAGGCAGCUUACUAAGGUACAACUGACACUGAAGCACGAAAGCGUGGUAUCAAACAG